AUCCUGGCUCAGGAUGAACGCUGGCGGCGUGCCUAAUACAUGCAAGUCGAGCGAACAGACGAGGAGCUUGCUCCUCUGACGUUAGCGGCGGACGGGUGAGUAACACGUGGAUAACCUACCUAUAAGACUGGGAUAACUUCGGGAAACCGGAGCUAAUACCGGAUAAUAUAUUGAACCGCAUGGUUCAAUAGUGAAAGACGGUUUUGCUGUCAUUUAUAUAUGGAUCCGCGCCGCAUUAGCUAGUUGGUAAGGUAACGGCUUACCAAGGCAACGAUGCGUAGCCGACCUGAGAGGGUGAUCGGCCACACUGGAACUGAGACACGGUCCAGACUCCUACGGGAGGCAGCAGUAGGGAAUCUUCCGCAAUGGGCGAAAGCUUGACGGAGCAACGCCGCGUGAGUGAUGAAGGUCUUCGGAUCGUAAAACUCUGUUAUUAGGGAAGAACAAAUGUGUAAGUAACUAUGCACGUCUUGACGGUACCUAAUCAGAAAGCCACGGCUAACUACGUGCCAGCAGCCGCGGUAAUACGUAGGUGGCAAGCGUUAUCCGGAAUUAUUGGGCGUAAAGCGCGCGUAGGCGGUUUUUUAAGUCUGAUGUGAAAGCCCACGGCUCAACCGUGGAGGGUCAUUGGAAACUGGAAAACUUGAGUGCAGAAGAGGAAAGUGGAAUUCCAUGUGUAGCGGUGAAAUGCGCAGAGAUAUGGAGGAACACCAGUGGCGAAGGCGACUUUCUGGUCUGUAACUGACGCUGAUGUGCGAAAGCGUGGGGAUCAAACAGGAUUAGAUACCCUGGUAGUCCACGCCGUAAACGAU
Molecule: ribosomal RNA, 812 nt
Filed under: uncultured bacterium
Lineage: Bacteria
Description: bacterial SSU rRNA
Rfam family: Bacterial small subunit ribosomal RNA
Source: RNAcentral